RNAcentral lists this ribosomal RNA (384 nucleotides) under uncultured eukaryote. RNAcentral's name for it is "partial 18S ribosomal RNA". It matches the Rfam family "Eukaryotic small subunit ribosomal RNA", at positions 592 to 976 of the family's 1831-position model. The record is from RNAcentral.
CAAUAGCGUAUAUUAAAGUUGUUGCGGUUAAAAAGCUCGUAGUUGGAUUUCGGCGGACAGGGGGCGGUUCGAUAUUUGUCGCUACUGCCCCAUUUGUCCGUGUUUUUGGCGGAGGUUUCAGGGUGCUCUUCACCGAGUGUCCUGGAAUGCCGUCAGGUUUACUUUGAAAAAAUUAGAGUGCUCAAAGCAGGCUUUACACGCUUGAAUAUUCGUGCAUGGAAUAAUGGAAUAGGACGUCGUUUCUAUUUUGUUGGUUUUCGGAAAUCGACGUAAUGAUUAACAGGGACAGUCGGGGGCAUUAGUAUUCAGACGACAGAGGUGAAAUUCUUGGACCGUCUGAAGACUAACUACUGCGAAAGCAUUUGCCAAGAAUGUUUUCAUUAA